Molecule: long non-coding RNA, 32864 nt
Filed under: Hordeum vulgare
Lineage: Eukaryota; Viridiplantae; Streptophyta; Magnoliopsida; Poales; Poaceae
Description: long non-coding RNA (HVUL_LNC019543)
Source: RNAcentral
UUCUUCGCCAUAGCUGUAUCUAGUGUUGUGAGUUCUGCUUCCAUUGUUGACCUCGUUAAGAUUGUUUGCUUGCAAGACUUCCAAGAAACAGCGCCACCACCAUGAGUAAAUACAUAUCCGCUCGUGGCCUUUAUCUCAUCAGCAUGAGAGAUCCAGUUUGAGUCACUAUACCCUUCAAGUACCUUUGGGUACCGAGUGUAUUGAAUUCCAUAACUCGUAGUGCCCUUCAAAUAGCGCAUAACUCUUUCUAGAGCUUUCCAAUGAUCAUCUCCUGGUUUUGAGACAAACCGGCUCAGCUUGCUAGCAGCAAAAGAGAUGUCACGUCUCGUAGCGCUUGCUAAAUACAUGAGCGAGCCAAUUAUUUGGGAUUAUUUCAAUUGAUCUCUAGCAAUUAUUCGAUUCUUUCGAAGCAACACGCUAGCAUCAUAAGGUGUUGGAGAAGGCUUGCAGUUAGUAUAACCAAAGUGACUCAAGAGAUUUUCCACAUAGUGAGAAUGAAGCAAAGUAAUCGCACCGUCAUCACUUCUCAGCAGCUUGAUAUUCAGAAUAACAUUAGCUAAUCCUAAAUCCUUUAUCUCGAAACAACGAGAUAGGAAAUCCUUGACUUCCUUAAUAACAUUCAUAUUUGUUCCGAAAAUCAAUAUGUCUUCAACAUAUAAGCAGAGGAUAACUCCCUCGCCCCCACCAUGGCGAUAGUACACACAUUUGUCAGCUUCGUUUACAACAAAGCCUACACCUAUUAAAGUUCUUUCAAACUUCUCAUGCCACUUCUUAGGUGCUUGCUUAAGUCCAUACAAUGACUUCAAAAAUUUGCACACUUUUCCCUCAUGACCGUCCAUUAUAAAUCCAUAUGGUUGUUCCAUAUAAAUUUCCUCGUCCAACUCUCCAUUUAGGGAAGCAGUCUUAACUUCCAUUUGGUGGACGAGAAUACCAUGUGAAGCUCCUAGUGAAAGAAGUACUAGAAUAGUGGUCAGUCGAGCCAUAGGUGAGUAAGUGUCAAAGAAGUCUUCACCUUCCUUUUGGGUAUAACCUUUGGCCACGAGUCAUGCCUUGUACUUCUCAAUAGUACUAUCAGGCCUAAGAUUCUUCUUGAAUACCCAUUUGCAGCCUAUAGGUUUGCACACAUAGGGACAAUCAGUUAUCUCACAAGUUUCAUUUGCGAGGAUGGAAUCCAUCUCACUACAAACCGCUUCCUUCUAGUAGUCAGCAUCUUCAGAUACAUAAGCCUCUGAAAUAGAACUGGGAGUGUCUUUUAUGAGAUAUACAAGAAAAUCAUCACCAAAGGACUUUGUAGUCCUUUGACUCUUGCUCCUUUUAGGAUUCUCCUUGUUGUUCUCCACAGGAUCUUCAAGAUGUUGUGUUGCAAUAGUCGGUUCAGAAGGUGCACCUACAUCUUGACUCGAUAAGCUAGGCAUCUCCUGAUUUGAUGCGCUAGCCAUAUCCUUAAUGGGAAAUAUAUCUUCAAAGAAGGUCACAUCAUUCCACUCCAUGAUUGUGCCAACAUGCAUGUCAGAUACCUCAUAUUUUAUAAUCAAGAAUCUACAACCAAUGCUAUGAAAAUAUACCCCAGGAAAACAUAAUCCACAGUUUUUGGCCCAAGCUUUCGCUUCUUUGGAAUUGGUAUAUUGACUUUUGCCAAGCAGCCCGAAGUUCAUAGGUAAGAGAGUUUUAACCUUUUCUUCUCCCAUUCCUCAAAUGGAGUUAUCUCUUUGUUCUUUGUGGGAACUCGGUUUAGGACAUGACAUGCAGUCAAAAUCGCAUCCCCCACCAUGCCUUGGAGAGACCUGAUAUGACUAAAAUGGCGUUAACAAAAUCAGUUGGAGUGUGGUUCUUCAUUUCAGCUACCCCAUCUGACUGAGGUGAAUAGGGAGGCGUUCUCUCAUGGAUUAUACCAUGUUCGGCACAAAAAGAAUCAAAUUCAUUGAAAAAAUACUCUCCACCAUGAUCAGACCUAAGCCUCUUAAUUUUCUGAUCAAGUUUGUUUUCCACUUUAGCUUUAUAGAUCUUGAAGAAAUUCAAAGCCUCAUCUUUAGAUUUUAAAAGAUACAGAUGGUACCAUCUAGUGGAGUCAUCGAUUAAUGUCAUAAAAUAUGACUUUCCACCUUUCGUCAAAAACACUGUUCAUUUCACAAAGAUCUGAAUGUAUGAGUUGUAGUGGCGCAAGAUUUCUUGUUUCUGCAGUUGCAUGAGACUUACGAGGUUGCUUAGCUUGCACACAAACUUGACCCUUAGAUCCCUUGAUAGAAGUGAAGUUCAGGAUCAAGUUCAACUUGACUAGCCGCGUCAUAGAACCAAAAUUAACAUGACAAAGACGUGAAUGAAAGACAUUUGAUUCUCUAUUAUUGCAAACGUGAUUAAACCCUUUAUUACAAAACAUCUAAUAAAGAUAGUCUGAACAAGCCUCCUGACUCAUAACCUUUACCAAGAAAAGUUCCAUACUUGGAUAUAAAAUUUAUUGGACUGAAAGACAAACUUGUAGCCAUCUCAACAUAGAGGAGAUCCACUAACAAGAUUUUUAUUAUCGGAGGGUACAUAAUGCAUGUUCUUCAGCCGCAUUAUUUUUCCUGAAGUAAACUUCAGAUCGACCGUGCCAACACCACGAACAUAAGCACUUGAACCGUUUCCCGCCAGGAUGGAGGUAGUCCCUGCGGCCUGAUAUGAAGAAAACAUAGAAAUAUCACCGCAUAUAUGCACAUUAACACCCGUAUCAAUCAACCAAUCAGGAGAACGACAUAGUGAGAGAAUAGUGGGAAGUAUACCAUACCCAACAUCCUGCAUCUCAGCAUCACCAAUGAUAACAUUAGCAAUCUUGUCGCCUUUCCCAUGUUGACGCUUUUCAUAACGGUUAGGGCAACUAGGUGCCCAAUGAUGAGGAUCUCCGCAAACAUGACAAACACCUUUCUUUUUGUCAGUCUUCUUCUUGAGUGUGCUGUGAAGCCUUGUUCUUCCCAUCAAACUUUCCCUUACCAUCAAAUUUGCCCUUGUUAUUGAACUUGUGGGGUUGGAAGUUUUUCUUCUGCACCAGAUUGGCACUAGAACCUCCUUCCAUACCUCAAGCAUGUAUGUCUUGCCUUUUCUUCCACAUCAAGAUUACCAAUGAGAUCCGGAACGGAAAACUCCUUCCUCUUAUGAGUGGGAGAGGUAGCAAAGUUCCUCCAUGAAGGAGGAAGCUUAGUAAUAAUACCUCCGGCAACAAACUUCACCGGUAACAUACAAUUGAAGUUCUCAAGUUCUCCAGCAAAUGAUUGUAUCUCGUGAGCUUGUUCAACCACAGAACGCUCAUCAGUCAUCUUUAUUCAUAGAAUUGUUCCAUGAUAUACAGCUUAGUGCCAGCAUUCGAGACUCCAAACUUGGCCUCGAGCACGCUCCACAUAUCUUUCCAUUGUCAAUUGACGCAUAAGCAUCAACAAUGUUCUCACCAAGAAUACUCAAGAGAGCAUCCUUAAACAAGGUAUCAAUUUUCUGAAAAGCGAAUUCCUGUUGAGGAUCAAGAAUUCCUUCAGGUUUGCCAAGAGUGGCAUCGUAGCAGCUCAUGGUUUGAAACCAUAGAACAUCCCUUACACACCAUCUCUUAUAGUGCACACCCUCGAACAUAGGAGGCCUCAUGGAAGCAGCAAAACCACUCGGGGUAAAUUUCCUAAAAUAAGGUCUUCGGAUUGUUGGAAAUAUGAGCGAUUUACCAAGUGAUUUUACUAGCAGAAAUAGUAGAUGAAUCAUGACUACCAUAGCAAUUAUAAGACAAGCCAGUCGAUUAUACACAGAGUAUGCAAGUAGCAUAUGAAGUGAUGAGCAGGAACGAAACAUAUCUAGAAAAGAAACUAUAACAAGAAGUUGUGGCAGGAACUCAAACAAGAAGAACACGAGAACAUACUGAGUUGGAGCAGCAGCUAUAGUGGGAUUUGCGUUGACGUCGUCAUUGGCCAUGUUGCCGAAGAGGCUGUCGAUGUCGGGGAAGAAGUCGUCAUCCGGGAAGUAGUCGUCAGCGUUCGUGAUGGAAAAGCCAGUAGUCGCAUUGAGCGCUCCCCAAAAACCUUAUCGCCCUUCUCCAGUACAUGACUCAAAGAGACGGGGUUUCGGAGGCCUACUGUUCCGACCUGCGGUGCACGUCGCAAGCCGGGGCGGGGAAAAGCUAGCAGUAGCUCAGAGAUUGGAACUCGUUGGCAUGAGGAAGAUGGUAUUCUCGUGUGUCUCUCUGGAGAGGAGCGACCUGUCUUUUAUAGGCCCAUGAGAAGGAGGCAGGCACGCAACAUCGGGAGGCGAAGCAAAAGAGAUUGCAGUCAGGUUGAUAAUAGUCGAGUGACAUUACUUCGUCGGUCCAAACUAAGGAAUCUGUUAUAAAUGUUUUGAAAUAGAUAUUGUUCUCUCUUUGAUCAGGGAUUGCUAUAUGAAAAUAAGUGGAGUUUGAAAAAGGGAACGAAAUGCUCAAACCGGAACUGCUAGAGGAACGAAUUUUCAAUAGCAUAACUUGGGCUCCUAGAAUAUGGUGCCCUUGAGACAAUCUAUUUGAUUGCAGGGUUUUGUUCUGAAGCAAAGAUAUCCGCAGAGGACGGUUCGUUCGUCCUAUUCUGAUAUUCAGGACCAAGAGGUACUGCAUUCUCUGGCUGAAAUGCCAACGGAACUCUGUCUAUUCUCUAAUUCACCCGAUCCGAUAGUACCUGUUUUUGGAACGUCCAGUGCCAAAGUCAUUGAAUGGGUAAGUCACGAAUCCAAUCCCUUUGACAAAUCGGAUGUCAUAUUAUAUAUCAUAUCCUAUAUAUAUAUAUAGAAAUAUCAUAGAUACCCCGUUUCGUGACGAGGCGAGACGGGCGGCGGAGGAGGAGGAGCGUGCGUGUAUGUCUCUCUUGUUCUCAUGCUCAUACAUGUGUGGAAACAUCCUUUCUUAUAAGGAGGUCCAACUCCUACCAAACUAGCAAUGUGGGACUAAACUUUAGUCCCUCCUCUUGCCUUGCACGAGUGGGCUAAGUGGGCCUCUAGGAUUUAUUAGAAAUUCUGAAAAAGGUCAUUGGGCUGGCCCAAAAUUAUAAAAUUCUAGCACAUAAUUGGGGGGGGGGGUAUACCUCUGGGGCUCCCGAUAGUCCGAUGAGCAGGCUGCCGGACAUGAGGCAGACAAAGGGAUCCGCAGCGCUCGGCCAUAGAUUAGUGUAGGGUAUCCAUGUCGUUAGAAUGGAGCUCCACGCGACCAGACGUGCACAUAGUUUUACCUAUUUUAGUUCAAAUAUGUCCAAAAUGCAAUGAAUUUAGUCCGGUUUAUAUGAAAUCCGUUGUGUUUGCAUGAGUUUCAUCUGCUUUGUUGGAAAAGUGUUUGAAAUAUACUUCCUCCGUUCCAAAAUAUAAGACCUUUUAGGAAUUUCACUAUAAGACUACACACGGAGCAAAAUGAGUGAAUCUAUACUCUAAAAUAUGUCUAUGUACAUCCGUAUGUAGUUUAUAGUGCAAUCUCUAAAAGGUCUUAUAUUUAGGAACGGAGGGAGUAUGUGAGUAACGAUGGAUGACCGACAACACUCGAGAAUAUCAUUUUUGGUGGUGCUCCUCAGGUGCCGAGUCAUCACUUUCAAGGUGAAAACCUAAGGUCUAACUUUCGUUUUGUGCCUUAUAUUAGAGUAUUUAACCAAAAACCACCAUAAUUCAUGGAAACGUGCCUAGAAACUACUACUAUACGUUUUUGUGCCGAAAGCUACCAUUUUUAUCCUAAUCAGUGGCAAAAAACUACCAAGUGUGAAUAUUGCUCCAUUAGCCUCUUUGAAAUGCCUUUUAUCCUAAUCCGUUAACUACUCCAUUAACCUACCUGGCGCAGCCCCGCCGCCGUCGCCAUGGCCUCGCCCAAAGCGGCGGCCGCCCCGUGCCUCGCCGUCGGCAGGCCUCCUUGUCGCCGACCACGUCGCCGUCGGAUCCCGGCGUCCUGCGAACCGCCCCACGCUGCCAGUCUCCAUGCCCUCGCACCGAGCGGCGGCCGCCCCGCGCCUCGCGGCCGAAGGCCUCCCGUCGUGGACCCUGCCGUGGUUGGAUCCCACCGCCUCGCCUCCCUGGCGCAGCCUCGUUGCCCCGUGAACCGCCCCGCGCCGUCCAUCGCCAUGGCCUCGCCUCGAGCGGUCGUCGCCAGCGUCUCGCCGUCACCAGAUCCGGCAGGCGUCGCCCUGGUUCCGCCUCUCCCGGACCUCCCCGCCGCCCUGCUCAUGCCGGAGUGCUGCGUGUAGAUCGCGUCGUCUCCUCCAGAUCCGGUCGCACCGCCGCCGUACUUCAUCUUCUCCACCUCCGGUGAAGGCCGCCGCCGUCUCGAUCUCUUUCUCCGGUGACGGCAAACUUAACGGUGCUGACUUUUCCGUCCUGACAUGUGGGCCAACCCUGUCAUAAUGAGUUUAAACGAGCCAAAUGAGGCGUUUUGCAGACUUGAUUGUUUUUAGUCACAGAUUAGCAAAAAAAAAUUGAUAGUUUUUGGCGCAAAAACGAAUUGUGAUAGUUCCUGGGCACGUUGGCGUGAAUUGUAGUAGUUUUUGAUUAAAUACUCCUCAUAUUACCUUGAUGAAGGUAUUGUUUCGAGAGCUCGGUCUUUUUAAGGGAGAAAACCUAAGAUCUUGGAUCGGACGACGAUGACGCUUGUGCACCGAUUUUUUUUUAAAGGCAUCAUUUUUUAGGAUGGUUUGAGUGUCGCUGCUGCUGAGAAGAGUUGUUCACUGUGACGAGUAGUUGAAAAUGCUCUUACUAUUACAUUUUUCUUUCAAACACGUUACAGUUUACUCCCACCUCAAGUAGUUCCGAGCUACUGUACGUAGUAGCCACACACAUGGAGCGACUCACUCACCUCCAACCAAUUUAACUUUCGUGAAUCUUUGAUCGCUUUUCAUUUGGCCCAGCUCGACGUCACGCGGAUGUCCCCGAUGGAUCUCGCCGGCCACACGCCCCUCGACGACGACGAGAUGAGCAGCGUGUGAUCCUCGUCGCCCCGUCCAUCCAACCGAAGAUAAGACGCCCACUCCCUCCCCUCCACAUGGCACCCACCCUCCAAUCCCUUACUUAUUCCCGCCCCCCUCACUCCUCCAUCCCCUAGCUCCACCUCUCAUCCGCUCCUCAGCCACACCUAGAGCAUCUUAGCUCCAGCUAGCCACCAAUGGCCGCCGCACUGAGCCUCCGCGCGCCCUUCUCCGUGCGCGCUGUGGCGCCACCGGCGCCCCGCGUGGCCCUUGCGCCCGCGGCCCUCAGCCUCGCCGCCGCCAAGCAGGUGCGGGGAGCCAGGCUCCGCGCGCAGGCGACGUACAAGGUGAAGCUGGUGACGCCCGAGGGCGAGGUGGAGCUGGAGGUCCCCGACGACGUCUACAUCCUGGACCAGGCCGAGGAGGAGGGCAUCGACCUGCCCUACUCCUGCCGCGCCGGCUCCUGCUCCUCCUGCGCCGGCAAGUUGGUGUCCGGCGAGAUCGACCAGUCCGACCAGAGCUUCCUCGACGACGACCAGAUGGAGGCAGGGUGGGUGCUCACCUGCCACGCCUACCCCAAGUCCGACAUCGUCAUCGAGACCCACAAGGAGGAGGAGCUCACCGCAUAAGCUGCUUACCCUGCCUCUCUUUGCAACAAGAUCGAGCUGAUAUCAUAUUAUCUCCCAUCAUGCAUGCAUGCAUGGAUAUCGCCAGAUACACCGAUUUGUUUGUGCUCGAAUGAAUUGCUCGAUGCAUGGUUUGCUCCAGUAAUAAUGUCUUCGAAUUACUACCUUUUUGUACCGUAAGAUAUACUACUGUCGUAAUACUAGCGUGUACUUAAUUCAACGUACUGAAAUGAAUCCUGAUGGCUGAGGUGUCUCUCUGAUUAAUAAUAUCUUCUUUUUUACUUAAGAUAAGAGACUGCUGAAUGUUGGUUGCUAACGGUGGUGGUUGAUGUUGAAGUUUUGUUGCUGCAAGUUGAUUGCUUCGCCGCGUUAUGCCUUGCCUUGUUUCUCAUUUAUGUAUUUUUGAUGAUGCAUCGUCGCACUAGGUAGCUCUUGAAUUGUGUUUGGGGGCACCUUGAAAUUAAUAAACAGUAAGGUAGGUCACAAUGUCUUCAACCCCCUUUCUAGAAACCACUCUAACAUCAAAUAGAAUAUUACUCUAUUGAUUAGUACAGAGAUGCUAUAUACACUUUGUCACAGUUUGUACAGAGAUUGUAGGUGAAUGCAAUUGAAUUAAACCAUAUGUGACAUGCACCGUGAAGUCGAAACCUUGCAACAUAGUGUCAGAAAUAACAAAUCGAUGUCUUACUUCAUUAGAUGUGGAACCAUCUACCCUCGUUGUUGAUCAUCAUAAUGGUUUUAUAAACCCCCAACAUGUUGUGUUUUAAAACGAUUGUACCAUGUUCUUGUUUCGACUGCCGGGGGGAGGGCUCGUGAUGACCUACUCUUUCUCAAGUUAUCAUGUUAGUCACUUGGAUGACUUAGGCCCUGUUUGGAACUAUAAUACUCCCUCCGUUCCAUAAUAUAAGUCUUUUUAAAGAUUCCACUAAAAAACUACAUACAGAUGUAUAUAAACAUACUUUAGAGUGUAGAUUCACACAUUUUGCUCCGUAUGUAGUCCACUAGUGAAAUCGCUUAAAAGACUUAUAUUUAGGAACGGAGGGAGUAGAUUAUAAUAAUCUAGAUUAUGAAGAUAGAUUAUAUAAUCUGGUUUAUAAAAAUAAUCUAGAUGGACAUGUUUGGAGGCCGGAUUAUAUAAACUGUAAUCCAGAUUUUACAUUGCAUAAUGACCUGUCUGCCCUCUGUUUAAAAAAAAAAAAGGGUGGCGGUGGUAGGAAUGUAAUUAUCUCCAACUUUACAAGGGUAAUAGAUCAUUAGCAAUCCAUAAUCUGAUUUUAGCUGGUAUAGACUAGAUUAUGAGUUUUUAAUAAUAUAUCCAUCUAGUUUUUAUAAUCUACACCAUAAGCUGUCCUGUUUGAAGACAAAAUAGAUUAUAGAAACUGGAUUAUAUAAUCUGGAUGGUUCCAAACAGGGCCUUAGAUGGAGAUAAUGCACACCAUUGAAAAAAUUAUACUUAUAGAUAGGGUCACUUUAGUGGCUGGAAUAGUCUCGGACCUGUCACUCGUACUUCGGUCCAACAACGUACAUGCCAUUGCAAUUUACUGAGCAGGGAUUGCCGCCCGCCACUGAUUUUCUAGUCCCACAUUGGCCAUGGGGAAACCUUUUCAGUGGCGGGCGGUCGGGUACAACCUACCACUGGCAGUGAAGUUGUCACUGGCAGGCACCGGUUUCCUCCAACCAUUAGUGCACCACAUAUGUAAUUUUCUAAUUUCCUGCAUUUGUUUUUACAUUUUAGUGUGGUAUUCUUUUGUGACUUUGUUACUGUAUGAGAAUUGUUUGACCUUUGUAGUAUCUUUAUUUGCUAUAUUUUAGACAUUUUAUUAAUAAAGUUGUAUUUAAUUGAAUAUAAUUAUAUUUUUUGAACUACAACUAUAUAUUUUAAAUUACUUUCAAAGGUUCGAAGACAAAUAUUUAUGUCUCGUGAAACAAUAGUAUUGUUUCACCAAUAUUUGAGCAGUUUUUCAGCAUAUGUAGUUCAUAUUUAAUUUAUGUCCAUUAGAUAAACUAAAAAUGCAUUUAAUGCCCCAAAUAUAUCAUAUAAACCUAGAAACGCAUUUAAUGCCCCAAAUAUAUCAUAGAAAACUAGAAUAGUCCUGAAUUUGACCAAGGAACUUGUAAUGGUGUAUACCAAAAAUAAAAAAAGUUUCUGUUAAAAAAUGAUGAAAAAAUUGUGUUCCCAUUCAAACCCAACAUUUUCCCUUAGAAACGUUGAUACUUCCGUGGAGACUGUUAUUUCUACGUGAAGUGCAUCGGAUUUUUUCUGUGAGUCUCUAAUUUUGUUACCACACCUUCGGUUUCAUAUCAUGACACCAUGCAAAGUUCCAUCAUUUUCAAACUGAAUUUACAUCUAUGUAUAAAAAAAAUCAAUACUCUUAAUAGCUAGAAAUUGAUCUGAUGCUUAAAAAUAGCAAAUCAACCCAAAAGGUGAUAAAGUCUAUCAUGAGUCUUUAUGAAGUAAAUUCAACCCCACAAAAGGUGGAAAUUAAAUUCUACCCCUAAAGCAGUAAAGCAAACAUAUUGCAAAAAAUGCAAAAAAGUAGCGUGCGACCAUAAACACCCUCCAUUGAUUGAUUUUGGUCACAUUCCCGCGAGUGAGUGGGACAUGCCCGCACCUUCAACCUGCAAAUGUGGUUGCCUUAUCCCCCAUUGUCGACCUCUCCCAUCCGACUCUACCCAAUCCCUAGCUUGCAAUCACCAUUGCUGCACCCGUCGUUGUCGCCGGCGAGGGAAUCAUCGUCUUUUUCAUGGGUUGUCAUUGUUGCAACAACCCCGGUCAGCGUGGCCGAAAUGCCCACCCCAUGGCCUCCUCCACCAGCAAUGGUGGCCUAACCCGCUGCCACUAGCCUCCUCUUCCUCCAAGCCCGAUGCCUUUAACUCUCCCCAUGUCUCCUUGCGCGUCGGUGGCCCCAAUCUCCUGGUUGUAUUUUGCAAUUGCAAAGGACAUUGUAUUCGUUGUGAGAUACUUAAAUCUGUUGAAAGGAUAUCGAAUUCUAUAAGCAACAUGCUUCUUGCUUGUGGAAUGUGCAGGCUAUUCUUUCAUGGAAAAUUUGGUCUUAGGAUACUUGGGGAUAGGAAAUAGAGAAUUAAUCAAGGUAGAUUGUUGUUAAUCCAUUUUGCUUCAUAUCCUUCUAUUGAUGUAUGAUUAGCUCGUUCUUUCUAGACUACGCCAUAUACAUCAUUUCUUUAGCAAAUUUAUUUACUCCUGCUUGCAUAACUAUGUCGUAUGCAUCAUUAUGCUUAGCUCCUGCUUGCAAGAUUACUUGAGGAUAAUAGGAAGCAAUUAUGGUUUCAGAAUAAACCAAUCAGAAUAAGAAACACAUCCUCUAUACUCACAUCAUCUUUUAUACCUCAAUGCUUGUAGGUGUAGUGUUUUUUGCCCCAUGCAAAUUUGUGUUACGUCAUCUUUUAGAUACAAAUCAUGGUACCCUUGUUCCUGUCUUGACAUCAUGGUCAUGUUUUAAAAAAAGCAUUUUCUUAUUUAUGUUACACCCCACAUGUAUGUAUACAUAUAUUUCUUUUUUAUGUCUCUUUGAAGGUUGUUAGUGCCACAUGUAGGUGGGGUUGUAUUUUUUUAUUGGUGAAAGUUGUUGGUUCUACAUGUUGUGUCACCUUAUAUAAGGUGUAUUACACUUUAAAUAGUAAUGUGCAUAUCUCCAAAAUUUGUAGGGCUUCAAAAUGAGUGCCAAAAUUCUGGCGAAAUGUUGAUUUAUUUCCAUUUCACCACAUUUUGAGCACUCAAUAUUUUCAAUUUUUUUAGCAAAACUAUGCCCAACUUUUCCAAUGAUUCAUAAUUGUUUACCCUUAUUAUUUUAUAGAUGUACUGGCUAUACUAUAGUGUAUAAAUGAUGCGACGAACUAUGUGUUUUCUAUUUAAUUUCUCAACAUGAAUGUAUGCAAUCAACCAUGUAUACCCAUGAUGUGGUAACAUCAACGUAGGUGUGUGCCACAGGUGCUUAUCAACUCUAAGGAAUUCUACGUAGAUCUUGACGAGAACUUUCCACAGAGGAUUGUACGUUUUAAUUCAACAUGUGUUGUGGAUGCUGAAUUGCUCACAUAUAUAAAAUUACCCAAAAAAUGUCUAUUUUUCAUAUUUCUCCAUGCAUCCCUUGUUAUGCAAGGCUCACUUCCUACAUAAAGUGAACGUGCCAUAGAGGAGAAGGUUACAUUUGAGCUCAAGAUGAUCAUGUUAAAAAAUGGCACAACCUUCAACCUUACGGUCACCAACGAGGCACACGGAACCUUUCAGUUGCCCAUGUUGAAGAGGGAUUGCAACCGAAUAAAUGAUGCAAAAUGCGAAGGCAUUCUUGUUUUUUUAGCGAAGGCGUUCUUUGUCGUUUCUUGGCGAACAAGAUGAUGAUGACAACAUCUAUAUGUGGUUCACACCGCCCCCACCACCAUAGUUGUUCUUGGUGGAAGGAUUCGGAGUUCAUAGGCAUAGUUUUAUCAUGCACUUCAUUUAAUGCAUAUGUUAUAUCUUUUUAUAAUCAUCCAAAUUUAUUCCUCAAAUAACGGCUAUAUCAUUUAAAAUUAAAAGAGAAAUAGAGUUUAGGGGACUAGAAUCCCAAAUAGAAGAGGGUCUAUAGGUAAAACUAGUCUUUGCUAGAGAAUCUGCUAUUUUGCUUCCCAAAGCAAUGGGCAAAAGAUGUGCCAGCAAAGUCCAUCACCAGAAAAUAGCAUUCCACGAUAGUGGCUGCAUCUGGCUCGAAAUUAUUCGUAUGCCAGUUCACAACCUCCACAACUAGGAUACCCAUGAUGUUUCGAUAAUCACAUUAGGUUUCCAUCACAUUAUUGCACACAAUGUUUCCAGCCAAACGAGCCCUUUGCGAAUGGCACUUAACUCUAUCAAAUCGGCACUACUGACAUGAGGCAAAUACCAUGUAACAGUGAAUGACACUUAACUCUAUCAAAUCGGCACUACUAACAUUAGGCAAAUACCAUGUAGCAGUGAAUGGCACUUAACUCUAUCGAAUCGACACUAUCGACAUGAAGCAAAUACCACAUAGCAGCGAGAGAAAGUUGCCUUUGUCAUCACGUACAAUAGCUCCCAUCGCACUCGAUUGUGUUUCAUAACGGAAAGAAGCAUCCACACUAACAUUAACACUUCCCAUGUUAGGUCUCUUCCAUAUAUGAUAUUUUUUUCAUACAGCUGAUUUGAAGUUACUGCUCUUAUGAAAUCUUUGGCCAAAACAUUGAUAGAAACUGCUCCCUUUUAGGGUUUUGGAGAGUGUAGGAUCGAAAGUAUGUCUAGUGGAGGGGGCUUCAUUAGACUACUUGAUAAGAUAAAAACUGAACCUUUUUCCUAAUUUUAGUUGUGGGCUAGUUUUAGCAAUUAUGACUAGUCAAGUUCAUCCUACUCAUGCAUAUCUAAGAUUAUAGCAGCGGAAAGUAAAGACAUGCAAAUGUAAUGAAGAGGGUAAGGUAGGAAGAUCAAAUGCAAAGGUCGACACGGUGAUUUUUGGCGUGGUUCUGAUAGGUGGUGCUAUCGUACAUCCAUAUUAGUGGAGACUUCAACCCACGGAGGGUAACAGCUGCGAGAUUACACAAAGGGCUCCACCCACAAGGGCUCCACGAAGAAGCGGCCUUGUCCAUUCCACCAUGGCUUACGUCCACACAAGACUAACCUCACUCACGGUAGAUCUUCACGAAGUAGGCGAUAUCCUUGCCCUUACAAACUUCUUGGUUCAACUCCACAACAUGAAGUAGGAGGCUCCCAAGCGACACCUAACCAAUCUAGGAGGCACCACCCUCCAAAAGUUAAUAGAUGCAAUAGAAGGAUGAACUCCUUGCUCUUGUGCUUCAAAAGAUAGUCUCCUCAACACUCAAUCACUCUCUCAUAGAUUUUGCAUGGGUAGGAGAGAUUGAUCCCAUGGAAAGCAACUUGGGGAGGCUAGAGAUCAAGUUUCAAAUGGUUGAAUUGGAAUCUCUUGAUCUUAACACAUGCAUGAGUAGGUGGCUUUCUCUCAGAAAUAUGGAUCUGGCAAGUGGGUGUGUGUUCUCAGUGCUUCCUUUUCGAAUGCGAGGAGGUGGAGGGGUAUAUAUAGACAUCUCCCAGAAUCCAACCAUUACCACAUUAUUUCCCAAUGCGGUGACACCGAAAGGAAUCUUAGUGGUACCAAGUUGCAAUAAAUGUGGCACCUUUUGAAUUCUUGGUAGACCAAUAUAUGAAUCUCGAUGGUAAAGAUACGAUGAUCUAGACCAGUUUCCAAAUCUCGGUGAGACCAAUUCCAAUCUCGGAAAUUCUGAUUGUUGGAAUUUUCUCAACAGAAAGUUGGUCAUUGAAUCUCGGUGGCUCUCAUAUGAAAGUUUGUGGUACCGCCAGAUUAGAGUCUGGCAACGGAUCCAUUGGGUGGAAAAUUAGUAGGGCCAAGUGGAAAAUAUUGGUGGCACCGAUUUUGCUCGUUUAGCUUUGGACAGGGAUAUCUUGUGGGAGAAUGGCUUAGUAGUUUUGGUGGCUAUCUCUAAGCACUUGAGCAACCAAUUCACCGUAAUACCUCACCCCCUUUAAAUAGUAUUGGCCUUCCUAUGGACUCAAAGUGAUUUAUCACAUAUGUAAAAUGUAGAGUCUUCUUGCUUGAAGCUUGAGCUAAUCCUAUUCCUUCCUUCAUCAAGGGGUUUCUCCACACAAUCCUUUAGCCAAGGCAUCUUUGAACUUUUCUAAAAUAUACUUGGAUAACAUCAUUAGUCCAAUGAUGCAUAUGUUGUGAUCAAUUAUCAAAACCACCUUAGGGAGCAAUUGUGCUUUAAAUCUCUCCCUUUUUGGUAACUGACGACAACAUAUAGAUCAAAGCUUCAACAAAAGGUAUAAUCAAUUAUUAGCAUCGACGCUUUGAGAAGUACGUGGAAAGCAAGAGAUGCCCCUAUAUUUGUGCAUUAUUUUAUAUUUGCAUUGGAAUGCAAAUGCACAAUCGAUUAGGAUCAUGGGUCACUCUUCCAUGUCACAUAUAGCUUGGUGGUGCGCAUAAAUGAUAUGAAUAAAUAGUAAUGCACAUAACACCAAACAAGCAAGUGAAUGAUCAUCAAGUAGAUGGCUCCAAGGUAAUAACGUGGUAGCAGCAAUCAAACAAAGUAUAGAUCAAACACUUCUCCCAAACACAUAAAGUCAACCAAAAGACCAAAAAAUUGAAAAACCAAAUGAGACCAAAUAAAAUGCAAACCUCUCCCUCUCGAAGACUAUUUGAUCUAUACACUUGUCCUCCUUUGGCGACAAGUUACCAAAAAGUUUGAAGGUCUAGAACUAAUUAUCUCUCUGGCUUGAACUCCUCCGGUAGAUGAUGAUGGAGUGGAUAGGAGAGCGUCGAUGAAGGCUUUUGCACAUGUCCCUGGAGCUGGAGGUGUUGACACUAGAGGUGCAGGAGCAGGAGUUGAAGGUGCUAAAGCUUGAGCUGAUGAAGAUGGUCUUGCUUCCAGAACUGGCAUAGUUGUUGACCUAGUCUGGGUCGUGAACUGAGUAGUAGUAGGAAGAGGCGACUCUUCCUCAUCACUUCUAGAGCGGGAUAUAUGCACAGAAUCAACUUUAUGCUGGAGCUGCUCAACAGUGGUAGUCAACUCCGUUACCUUAACCUCCAAGUCAUGGAAUUUUGUCUCCACGAUCCUCUCAAGUCUCUUCUGGUUCAGCAAGAUCUCGGAAAUUUUCUUCUCCAUCCCUUGGAUGGUACUGACCAAGAAUGACAUCUGCUCAUCUCUGGUCCUGAGCUAUGCGGUUGAAGCUGGAGCAUUCCUAGCAGCCGCUGUCUCUGCUACCUCUGCUGCCGCUUGAGCUGUAGCUGAGCUAGGAUGGCUAGGGUCCAUCACAACUUCAUUAUCUUCAAACUCUGGCUGAAGUGGCAGGUGGGGACGAUCAAGUAGAUAUGCAUGCUUGCCAAUCUUGGCAUUGAUGAGCAUCUGAAUAUAUGGAGCAUAUCCACAGGAUUUCUUUUGAUCUACAGCAGUCUUCCUCACAUGCUCAACUAUCAAGUCCAUCAUUAUGAACCGGAAGUGGGUGUCUAGAUGAUCCAACAUGUUGAUGGAAUAACCUCUAAUAAUCUUAUCCUCUCCUGAUUUGGGCAUGAGGGUGUAUCUCAUAAUGGUGUUUGUAGUAGGUAUCCCUGCUUGCAAGAAAUAGACAAAUCCAAACUUGUACAUCUGCACAUAUUUAUGAGGCACUGGCUUGUACAUUUUGCCGUAGAGUUAUGAUUCAUCUUGGGUUCUGAGUACACAUCCAGAUCUCCUUCUUGUGCCUUUGGAUCACCAAUUGUAGUGGCUCACUCAUACAUAAUAGACUCAUACCGGUGACCUUCAGUCAUCCAUACAAUCCUUCCGUCAGAACAGAAAUUAGCGAUGGAAUAGAAUUGCAUGAUCAUCUCAUCAUUCCAAGCAGUCAUCUCUCUGCCAACAAAAUAUUUAAUAUCGACUAGCCUGAAGUUUUCUCUCACAUGGGGAAAAUAAUGCUCACUGGCCUUGAUAUAUUCCCAAUGGACAUAUCUCAUAUCGCUGACUGCAAGACUCUUAUCAUGAAACACACUCUCAUAGAAAUCUUGUUGCUCCUUUAUGUGAAAGCGGGGAUCAACAACAGUUCUCCGUCUCACAUCAUAUGGAUCAACUGAUCUCCACUUACUCACUCCUUGAUCUCUCCUCUUUUGUAUGUCCUGAGCAGUUGGUGAGCAACAUUGUGUAGUGGCAGAUGAGCUCAAAGCUUCAUUAGAACAGGGGCACCCUCUUCCUCUUCUACCGCAAACUCUCUGGAUGCAGAGCCUUUGUUCCUCUGUGCUGCAGGAAUGUCCUUGGUAGUCUUCUUGGGAGCUACAGACUUCUUAGGAGUUGAGAACUUCUUGGGAGCAGAAGGCUUCUUUGGCAUAGCAUCAACCAUCGGCUUUUUCUUCAUAGGAGGAGGGACCUUAUGUGGAAUUUAUUCCUCCUCCUCAUCAACAACUUCUUCUGGGUCUUCAUAUAUUGAGGUUGGCCUUCCAAUAACAUAGUCAAUUCUCUUUCUUGCUCUCGUAUGACAUGGCUUCUUUGCAAGCCUAGCUUCUGGAGCUUUCAUGUCAGAACGUAUGGCAUAUUCCUUCCUCACAGUCUUCCUGACUGCGGUCUUAUCUUUCUGCUUCUCAGGAACAGAUUCCUCUGGAAUAAAGUCAACAUCUUCUUCAUCCGAAUUGAUCUUCCUUCUGGACCUGGUAGCUGCCUUGGACAAGCUAUGGGAGCUAGGUGUCCCUGGGUCAGAAGGUGUCCUCCUAGGACUAGUGCCUGAAUCCAUCUCAGCACUUGGCUCAGUGAAGUUGUUCUGACUAUCCUCUGAUCCUGACAUACUGUCACAGAGCCAAGUAGACAAUCAAACCCUAUGAAUAGAUAUACAAGAUCUAGAAGGGAUGAGCAUCACAAAAAUCAGAAGUUUUGGAAAAAUCGAACUCUGAAAAGUUAGGUUUAACAUUUAGCAAAAAAGGAUUUGUGUUCCAUCGAGACAAAAAUUUCGGAGGCACCGAUACUGACGUACUAAUUAACAGAAACUUGGCACCCUUUUCCGUUCCACUGAAAAGGAGAACUCACUUUCACCGAGACCGUUCUCGGUAGCCCUAAAAAAUCGUUAAGACCAACUUUUCUAAAUCGGUGACACCGAGAUUCAAUCUUGCGGAUGGCUAACCCUAAGAAUUCCAUUGUUCUCUAAUCUAUGGAAUUUUUCUUCUAGAUAGGAUGAGUGUAGAAGUGGACAAAAUUCAUCAAAACCUUAAUGCACAAGAAUCAGAAUUGGAGCGCAUAAAGGGGUCGGAUCCGUACCCUAGCUUGGUGAUGUAUCCGCUACGGCAACGACGACGGUGAAGAUUCCUGUUGACAACGAAGACUCCGGUGGUGAGGGCGCACGUGAGAAUUAAGGCGAUGUCCACGGGACUAGGGCGCGGCAUCGAGGAUGUGCGUCACGCGACGUUUGAAGUGAUUUUCCAAUCAUCGGGUCCGUGAGAUAUAUAUAUCUCCUAGCUGUCGGUGACACCGAUAUGGAAUUUUUGGUGCCACCGAGUUCCACAACUGUCAACUGAAAGUGAAAAUAGGUGAGGCCGGAAAGAACAACUCAGUCAUACCAAGUUAAGAAAACCUGAUCAACCCUAGGCUUCGGUGGGACCGAGAUUUUGUGGUUGGUCACACCGAGAUGCAAUUUGGGAGGUUUUGGGAUUCAGCACUUGUCGAGACGGAUCUAUCAAGCACUUGUGUCCCUAAAGUUCUUGCUCAAAUUUUGUGUUGUAGCAUGAAUAGAAUUUGAGACGAGAAAGCAUAGAUAGCUAGAGGGAAGUACUUAGGCAUUCUUGUAUAUCCAAUUGGCCAAAUGAAAUAGAAAGACAAAUAACAACAAUUGGAUAUCCUCGAAUGAGAAAAAUAUGCAUACCAACAUGCUCACACAAUAAGGUGUCAAAUAAAACAUGGUGAACAUGCACGAACAUUCUAGCAUCUAUCAAGCACUUUGGCGAUAAGGAAUUCAUCUAUAUAUGAGUAUAUUGACAUAGGAGCCAAGUAAGAGUACUUGACAAUAGGUCAUACUCAUCGAUUAAGAACAAGUGGGGUUAUCACUUUUACAUAAAACAUUAAUGUGCUCACAUCAUUUAGGAGACGCUUAUACUCAAGUCUUAGAGUAAAGCUCCUCCUAGAUGUGACAACCCCCUAAGAGGGAUAAACUAACCUUAGGUUUUGUAGUAGAAGAUUUCAAGUAGGUGUAGUAGUGGUGCAUGCUCAUUGUUGAUAAAGAUCAUCUUUGAGUUGGGAGCAAUCCUAGUUGUUUCUUACCCUUCUCACCUACAUGGGUUAGUCCCAAAGCAAAAGGAAUGUAUGCAAGAAUAUCUAUGGACAUGGCAUGAAGUGCAUGAGAGGUGAUGUAAAAAUAUGCAUUAAUUACCUUGUCCUUUGCUUACCUUUGAGGUAAUGUGUGACUCCUUGAACUAAUGCAUAUGGUUGGAGUUGAUUGCAUAUAGUUCUUGCCAAAAUGAAUAAGAGUGAAUUUGAUUGGUAGAGUCACCCCCUCAAGAAGUUUCUAGUUCUUCAUCUUAGGGACCCACAUCAACUUGAUGGGGAUCCUUGGAGUUGUGAUAGCAGUAGAUGAGGUAGUGUUAGUUGUGUCCAUGGGAUUCCACUCGACCUUGGCUUGGGUUUCUUCCUCAAAUGAUUCAAUCUCCUCUUGAAGCUUUCCCUUGCCCUUGUGAUCUUGUGGUUGAAGGUCAUGUUGAGAGCUUGUUCCCUUGGGAAGAGUAGGAUCAUACUUUUCCUCUUGAGGAACGAACUUCGGUAUGGGAUAUAGACCUUCUUCCCAUUCAUCUCCGUUGGCAUUGAGGUAACCAACACCGUGCUUCUUCCGAUGUCCUCCUAGCUUGCGCAUAAUUUACUCGAAUUGCUAACUUUCGGCAAGACUCUUGAAGACACCUCUCUCUUCCUUUCCAUAAAUCAUUUUCUUUCUCAAGUGUAACUUGGCUAAGAGAAUCAUUAGUGGAAUCAAGAGAGCUACUAGAAACAACAUCAUUUGAUCUAACUUUAGCAUUUUGUUACUAGAUGAAGAAACUUUCUUGCAUUUGUUACUAGUGUUCUUAGGUUUGACUUGUGGAAUAAAAGUAGAUAAGAUUAAUCAUUUGAAUAGAUAAGAAUAACUCUUCUUCCGAAGAUCAUCAUUGAUUGCUCUUAGAAACUCAUGAUCUUGUCCUAAAUUUAGCUUCUCGAAGCAUAACUUCUCAUGAGUUCUUGCAAGCUCCCUUUGAUCUUCUAGAGUAGUUUCACGAGCUAACUUAAGAGUGUUAAAUACUUUAGUUAGUUGUUGAGUAUCUUUCUUAUCAUCAUCAUUCGAUUUCUCUUGACUAGCAUGAUUAUGUUCAAGUUCAUUUUCAAUGUUCUCACUAGUCUUAUCAAGGAGCAAGUCAUCUCCUCCUAACAAGUCAUCCUCAUCACUAUCAGAGUCAAAGUAAUUGGGGUGUGAUACCUUGGGGCCUUUUUCCAUGAAGUUGUUUCCAGUCCCUUCAUUUGGUGAAUCAAAUAAGUCAUAGGAGUUGGAGGAAACGAGUUCAAGACCGACAACACCUUCAUCUUGACUAUAGUCAGAGUUGGAGUGGUAGCUUCUCUCAGAUUGGUUGUCAGACUCGGAGCCGGAAAGCCUUUCACCAACAUGAUCUUGAUGUCUUGUUCUUGAGAUGCUCUUGGUGUACUUGUCCUUCCUCUCCAAUUCCUUUCCUCUCUGGGAGUGUCUUCGUUCAUAAUGAUCUUCUCUAAUCCUUCUCUUUGUGAGAGGUGACUCAUCUCUUGAGCUUCGUCUUCUAGGUGACUAUUCUCUUCUUUUGUGGGGAGCCGAGCACUCAUUGGAAUAGUGUCCUGGGUUUCCAUAGUUGUAGCAGUAUCGGUCACGACUAGACGAACGCUUCUCAUCAUGUAUUGAGCUUGAGCUUCUCUCCUUGCAUCUACUUUUGUAGAACUUGUUCAAUUUUAUGACCAUGAGGUUGAUCUCUUCAUUCGUAACAAAGUUGUCAUUUGAAGUAUCUUGAGUAUAACUUGAAACUCUGUAAGUACCGCUUGACUUGUUGUGCAACUCAUCUUUGUCCUUGAGUGACAUUUCAUGAGCAACAAUCCUUCCAAUAGCUUCAGUUGGCUUGAGAUCCUUGUAGUUUGGCAUCAUUUGAAUUAAUAUACACACGGUGUCGUAUCUUCCAUCCAAGGCUCUAAGUAUAUUCUUGAUGAUGAAUUAGUCGGUCAUCUCUUCACUUUCUAAGUCGGCAAUCUCAGCGACUCCCUCACCAUCCUUCAUCUUGAACUUGUCAAGAUGACUUUGAGGCACAUCCAACUUAGAUUCCAUGACAAAAUCAGCACCUUCGUGCAGAUGAAUCAAAGUAUCCCACGUGCAGAUGAAUCAAAGUAUCCCAAAUUUUCUUUGCAUUCUCAAGGCUUGAGAAUUUUAUUGCAACAUGUUCAAUUCUUCCGAUGUCGCAUCACGAUCCGGUUCCCUUGCUUCUCCAAAUAAAUCACCUUGCACACCAACACGAAUAACAGCCCAAACGGUAGGAUUAUGACCAAGAAUAUGCAUUUUCAUCUUAUGCUUCCAACUAGCGAAGUUUGUACCAUCGAAAUAUGCACCUCUACAGUGAUAAUUUCCCUCACUAGGCGCCAUACUCUCCUAGGUUGUGAAACCAAUGCAAUGGAGGCCAAAACUUUGAUACCACUUGUAGGAUCGAAAGGAUGUCUAGAGGGGGGAGGGUGAUUAAACUACUUGACAAGAUCAAAACUUAGCCUUUUCCCAAUUUUAGUUGUGGUCCAGUUUUAGAAACUACGAGUGGUCAAGUUCAGCCUACACAUGCAUAUCUAAGAGUAUAGAAGCGGAAAGUAAAUACAUGCAAAUGUAAUGUAGAGGGUAAGGUAGGAAGAUCAAACACAAAGGUUGACACAACUAUUUUUGGCGUGGUUCCGAUAGGUGGUGCUAUCAUACGUCCACAUUAGUGAAGACUUGAACCCAUGGAGGGUAAUGACUGCGAGAGUCCACGGAGGGCUCCACCCAUAAGGGGUCCACGAAGAAGCGGCCUUGUCUAUUCUACCAUGGCUUACAUCCACACAGGAGACAAGACUAGCCUCACUCACGGUACAUCUUCAUGAACUAGGCGAUCUCGUUGCCCUUACAAACUUCUUGGUUCAACUCCACAACACGAAGUAGGAGGAUCCCAAGCGACACCUAACCAAUCUAGGAGGCACCACCCUCCAAAAUGUAAUAGAUGCGGUAGAAUGAUGAACUCCUUGCUCUUGUGCUUCAAAAGAUAGUCUCAUCAACACUCAAUCACUCUCUCACAUAUUUGGCAUGGGUAGAAGAGAUUGAUCUUGUGGAAAAAACUUGGGGAGCCUACAGAUCAAGUUUCAAAUUGUUGAAUUGGAGUCUCUUGAUCUCAACAGAUCAGUAGGUUGCUCUCUCUCAGAAAUAUGGAUCUCGCAAGUGGGUGUAUGUUCUGAGUGCUUCCUCUAUGAAAUUGAGGAUGUGGAGGGGUAUAUAUAGGCAUCUCCCAAAAUCCAACCGUUACAACAUUAUUGCCCAACUCGGUGACAUUGAAAGGAAUCUUGGUGGUAUCGAGUUGCACUAAAUGUGGCAACUUUUGAAUUCUCGAUGAGACCAAUAUAUGAUCUCGGUGGUACCGAUACGAUGACCUAGACCAGUUUCCAAAUCUCAGCGAGACCGGCUCCAAUCUCGGAAAUUCUGAUUCUUGGAAUUUUCAUAACAGAAAGUUGGUCACUGAAUCUCGGUGGCACUGAUAUGAAAGUUGGUGGUACCGAGAGAUUAGGGUUUGGCAAAGGAUCUCUCUGGUGGAAAAUCAGUAGGGUCGAGUGGAAAAUAUUGGUGGCACUGAUUUUGCUGGUUUAGCUUUGGACAAAGAUAUAUUGUGGGAGAAUGGCUGAGUAUUUUUGGUGGCUAUCUCUAUGCACUUGAUCAACCAAUUCAUCAUAAUACCCCACCCCUUUUAAUAGUAUUGGGUUUCCUAUGGACUGAAAGUGAUUUCUCACAAAUGUAAAAUGUAGAGUCUUCUUGCUUGAAGCUUAAGCCAAUCCUAUUCCUUCCUUCAUCAAGGGGUUUCUCCUCACAAUCCUGUAGCCAAGGAAUCUUUGAAUUUUUUCCGAAAUAUACUUUGAUAAGCUCAUUAGUCCAAUGAUGCAUAUGUUUUGAUCAAUUAUCACGACCACCUUAGGGAACAAUUGUGCUUUCAGAGAGUUUCACCCCUCACAAACUGUUGUCGUUGCCACCAUAUAAACUAAGAAGCCACUACAAUCAGUUAUGAUGUUGGCAGCUCCCCUACUUUGGAUUGGUUUCUCUCUAAAACCUCAAUAGUUACAGAUCCUGACCGGUCCUCACAAACUGCCUUAUGGAUCACAUCUUUCACUCCAAGCUUUUUCCAAAUUCUAGAAGCACAACAAGAGGUGAAUAAGUAGUUAGAUAUCUUCAAACCCAACAUUGACUAGUAACAUGUAUGUGACAGCCAGUGAGCACUCCAAAGCAUGGUCGAAUUCCCCUCAGAACCUUCCAUGCAAAGGGUUUAACUUUGCGACAAACUCGAAGCCUUCAAGUAUGUUGUGUGUAAGUGUUAAACAUAAGAAAGUUGUUAAACUAAAUUGUGUUCUUAAUUUGUGCUAUAUAACUAGAUAUUGUGCCUUCUAUGAUACUACAAUUACUGUUAAACUGAAAAGCCCGCCACGACAACCAAAAAUGUUGACGUGUUCACUUGGCCUGACAAACAAUACUAGUGGCGGGCAUGUAUAAUAAACUGCCACUGGUACAAACAUUAGCAGUGGUGGACGCCCUGCCUGCCACUGAUGACUGGUUAGUAGCGACAGACACCCUUCACAAUAACCCUGCCAUUGGUAGGCAUUUUGUGUCUGCCACUGCUAGCCUGUUCUCCAGUAGUGACAAGGGUUUUCCUCCAAGACUAUAUCAUUCAUACCUAGUAUGCGUAGGAGUUAUCACCCGAUUUAAUGCAUGCAUGAUAGCAUGAAUCCUUUAGGGAUAAUUUGGAAGCAAGGUAAAGAAAAUGAGGGUAGCAAAUCCUCCCUUAUCACAUGAAUUUAAACAUCCCAUGUUAUUCACUUUAUUAAGUUGCCCCAUUUCAUUAAGUAAAAUUGUGCCCCUCAAAUUCACAAGAUUCCAAAGUUGUGGGAAUGAAAAGUACAAUGAGACGUCCAACUAAAUCAUAUAAUGUUUGUGAAUUUUGAAUCAAAGUUUUUUGAUUGUGCCACAGAAAGAACAAGAAUAUUAUUUACACUUUGUUUGAGCCAAUGCAAUUUUUCUUAUGUAAUGCAAGCAAAAUUGAAUCUGAAGGAGAAAAAUUUCCAAUAGGAUACGACUUUGGGGAUCAAAUAACACCCAUAGUAAAAAAGCAUAGGUCUAUUUAUAUCACAUCUAUAUUAUCUCACAUCUAAGUUAUGACAUCAGCGAAAGUCAAUGCUUUUCCAGCCCACCGCAUUUUCUUAUAUUUAUUUUUUUGCGACAUUUUUUCAUUCGUUUUUUUAUUGGAGCGUGCUAAAAAAUGCAAUAAGACUUGCCUAUGAAUCGAACUCAAGACUAGAUGGUGGUAGUUGAGAGCUCCCACCAGUAUAACCAUUACAUGCAUUUGAUAAAUUCUAAGCGGCAUAUCUUUAAGAAAAUACAACAGAGUUGAUAUUAGAAGAAAUUUUCAAGAAAAAUGUAAAAAAUUUUAAAUGUAAAAUAUUUCUGAAAACCAAAGAAAACUUGAAAUUUCCAAAGUAUUUUUCAAAUAUAAAUAAAGUUUGUAAUGCCAAACAUUUUUUGAAAAAUUAGAAAACAAUUUGAUAUUCCGAUUUUCUUAAAAAAGAUGACACUUUUUGAAAAAUUCCCGAACAAUUUAUAAAUCAGGUACACCUUUUAAAAUUCCAAUUCCUUUAAAAAACAUGGUUAAAUGAAUAUAUUUUUAUUGUAAUCAUAACUUUUCAACAAAUGUUUUUUUGCACCAUUAAAAGAAUGAGGGUGCAAAGAAUGUUCAUGUAGUUCACAAGAAUGUCCGUGAUGUUUAAUAAAAAUGUAUUAUACAAUGGAAAAUAAUCAUAACAUUCAAAUAAUUAUUAUUUACAAUCUUUUAAAAGAAACUUCACGCAUUUAGAAAAAUCAAAACAUUUUCUAGAAAAAAUAUUUGUCCGAUGUAAAAAAAAUGUUCACGUAUUUUUUUAAAAAUCAUACAAUUUAGAAAAAUGAUUUAAAAAAUGUUUACCAUGUAUUCUAAGAAUGCUUGGGCCUGUACUUGGAAAAAAAUAUUCAUCAUGCAUUUUUAAACAAUGGUAUGUGUGUUAAAAAAUGUUCCUAGUGUAUACAUGAAAAUGUACAAUGUGCAUUACAAAAGUUGACAUGUAUUUGUGAAAGCUAAAUUGCUCCCUAAGGUGGUUUUGAUAAUUAGUCACAUCAUAUGCAUCAUUGGACUAGUGAGUUUAUUCAAAUGCAUUUAAAAAAGUUCAAAGAUGCUUUGGCUAUAGGAUUCUGUGGAGAUACCCCUUUGAUGCAAGGAAGGAAUAUGAUUGGUUCAAGCUUCAAGCAAGAAGACUCUACAUUUUAUACUUUGUGAGAAAUCACUUUGAGUCCAUAGAAAAGCCAAUACUAUUAAAAAAGAGUGAGGUGUGAUGAUGAAUUGGUUGCUCAAGUGCUUAGAGAUAGCCACCAAAAAUACUGAGUCACUUUCCGACAAAAUAUAUAUGUCCUAAGCCACAUAAGCAAAAUCGAUGCCACCAACAUUUCCUACUCGUCCAUACCGAUUUUACACUUAGACAAAUUAUAUGCCAAACCCAUCAUCUCGGUACAACCAACAUUCCUAUCGGUGCCACCGAGAUUUGGUGACCAACAUUCUGUUGAGAUGAUUUCAAGUUUCGGAUUUUUUGAGUUUGAAUUUUGUCUCACCGAGUUUUGGAAACCAGUCUAGGUCAUCGUAUCGGUACCACCAAGAUUCUUAUAUCGGUCUCACCGAGAAUUCAAAAGUUGCCACAUUUAGUGCAACUUGGUACCACUGAGAUUCUUUUUGGUGUCACCGAGUUGGGCAAUACUGUUGUAACGGUUGGAUUUUGGGGGAUGCUUAUAUAUACCCCUCCACCUACCUCUCAUUCGUAGAGGAAGCACUCAGAACACACUUACACUUGUGAUAUCCAUUUUUCUGAGAGAGAGACACCUACUCAUGUGUUGAGAUCAAGAGAUUCCAAUCCAUUCAUUUGAACCUUGAUUUCUAGCCUUCCCAAGUUGCUUUCCACAAAAUCAAUCUCUCUUACCCAUGCCAAAUCUAUGAGAGAGUGAUUGAGUGUUGAGGAGACUAUCUUUUGAAGCACAAGAGCAAGGAGUUCAUCGUUCUACCACAUUGAUUACCUUUUGGAGGGUGGUGCCUCCUAGAUAGGUUAGGUGUCUCUUGGGAGCCUCUUACUUCGUAUUGUGGAGUUGAACCAAGAUGUUUGUAAAGGCAAGGAGAUCGCCUACUUCAUGAAGAUGUACCGUGAGUGAGGCUAGUCCUUCGUGGGCGGAAGCCGUGGUGGAAUAGACAAGGUCACUUCUUCGUGGACCCCUUGUGGGUGGAGCCCUCCGUGGACUCUCGCAGCCGUUACCCUCCAUGGGUUGUAGUCUCCACUAACAUGGACGUACGAUAACGCCACCUACCGGAACCAUGCUAAAAAUCUCCGUGUCAACCUUUGUGUUUGAUCUCCCUACCUCACCCUCUACUUUUUUUUGAUGGGAAACUGUAAGCAAAACCCCUCACAACGAGUUUUUUUUGAAAUAAUAAGAACUCAAAUUCGCGCCCGUGGGGACUUGAACGUGGGUGGCUGGGUUGUACAUCUACUCCACUAGACAAGUGAGCUAGGCUCACUUCCUUUACUCUUGCAUGUUUUACUUUCCGCUGCUAUACUCUUAGAUAUGCAUGUGUAGGGUUUACUUGACUAGUUAUAGUUGCUAAAACUGUCCCACACUUCAAAUUGGGAAACAACUAAGUUUUUAUCUUGUCAAGUAGUCUAAUCACCCCGCCUCUAGACAUACUUUCGAUCCUACAAUUUGGAAAAAUAACUAUAUAGGGGUACUGGGUUGGGAAUGAUUUGCAUGAGGAGAGUGGACAUGCAACUAUGUCGGACAUGAGCUGCAUGACUGAGUCGGGUGGGUUUACGUGUUGGGGUGGAAUGGAACUAGAUAGGGGCCGAGGCAAGUUGCGUGUUGAAAAACAAAACACAAGCUUACUUGUGCAUUAAGGGUGGACUUGCAAUUGGAAGAAGAGCUAGGUUGUGAGUGGAGGAUAGACUUACAUAUGGGACAACUACAAAUUGAGACCAAUUGCGUGUCAAUGGUUGACUUAAAACUGGGAUAAAACAAACUAUGGUUCAAGUUGCGAGUUAACGGUGGAUUUGCAACUAGGAUGAUGACAAAAAUAUAGGCUCACUUGCGAGUCAUUUGUGGGCUUGCAACUGGAAUAAAACAAACUAUGAGACUAGUUGCGAGUCGAUGUUGGACUUAUAACCGAGACAAGCAUAUAAACUAUGAUACGAGUUGAGAGUUGAGAGUAAACUUGCAAUUGAGAUGAAAAACAAAACACAUACCCAAUUGCGUGUCGAGGAUGGACUUGUAACUGAGAAAACAAAAAUAUGGGCCCGACUGCGAAUCGAGGAUGGACUUGCAACAGGGACAACAAAAAAACUAUGAUCCCACUUGUGAUUCGAGGACAAACUUGCAAUUGAGGCCCCUACAAGUACAAAGCCCUUAGUUACGAGUUGAGGUUGGAUUCGCAACUCGGGAAACUACAGGUACAGAAAGCCCAGUUGCGAGUCGAGGAUGGACUUGGAACCUUGAAAAUACGACUACAAAAAAGCCUCUGUUCCGAUUUGAGGGUGGACUUGCAACUGGGGCAACUACAUGUACAAAAAGGUCCCAGUUGUGAGUCGAGGGUAGAUUUUCAACUACGAUAACUACAGGUACAAACCUCGAGUUACGAGUCAACGGUGGACUUGCUACUAGGGUACCUAAAAUUACAACGCCUCGAGUUACGAGUCGGCGAUGGAGUUGAAGCUGGUGCACCUACAACUACAAAGCCUCGAGUUGCGAGUUGAGGAUGGACUUGCAACUAGAUUAACUACAAAGUACAAAAGAAAACCAGUUGUGAGUCAAGGGUUGACUUGCAACUAAGACAUCCACAGUUACACAAAAACCCCUAGUUGCAAAUCAAGGAUGGACUUGCAAGUGGAGCAACAAUAGGUACAAAGCCAGUUGUGAGUCGAUGGUAGACUUGCAACUUGGCCAACCACAACUACAAUACCUUCAAAAGAAGGGUGAAACUAUGAAAUUGGGAUGAAACCAACUAUGGGACCAGCUGCGUGUCGAGGGUGGACCUGGAACCGGGAUAAGAAAAAAAGUACAAGCUCAAGUUGUGAACCGAUGAUGGGGUUGAAACUCGAACAACUACAGGUUCAGUUACGAGUCGAUGAUGACUCCAAACUUGCACAACUACAAAACUAGGAGCCCAGUUGCGAGUCAUGGGUUGAUUUGCAACUAGGAUAAAACAAACUACUGGACCAGUUGCGAGUCAAGGGUGGACCUGCAACCGGCAUGAGAAACUAAACACAGUCUGAGUUGCGGCUCAAGGGUGGGCUUGAAACUGCUAUGAAACAAACUUCAUGCCUAGUUGCGAGGUCAGGAUGUACUUGUAACUGGGACAACUACAUGAAACUAAGAUAUGAGUUGCAAGUCGAGGGUGGACUUGCAACACGGACAAACUACACAAAACUACGAUACGAGUUGUAGUCGCGAGGGUGAACUUGUAACUGGGACAACUACAAAACUACGAGUCGAGUUGCAAUUCAAGUAUAUCAUUGCAAUUGGGAUGAAACAAACUACGGGCCUAAUUGCGAGUCAAGGGUGAACCUGUAACUGGGAUGAAAAACUACACAUAGACCGAGUUGCGAGUCAAGACUAGACUUGCAUCUAGGAUGAAAUAAACUACGGGCCUAGUUGUGAGUCAAGUGAGUACUUGCAACUCGGGAAAAUACACAAAACGACUACGAGUAGCGAUUCAACAGUUGACUUGCAACUCGGACAACUAAAUGAAACUACGAUAAGCGUUGCGAGUCCAGGGUAGACUUGCAGCUGGGACAACAAUAAGGCUAUGGGCUCAGUUGCGAUUCGAAGGCAAAUUUGCAAUUGGGACAACUACGAAACCAUGAGCCCAGUUGUGAGUCAAGGGUGAACUUGCAACCAGGAUGAAACAAACUACAUGCCUAGUUGCGAGGCAAGGGAGGACUUGCAACUCGGCAAGUACACAAAACUACCAUACUAUUUGGGAGUCAAGGAUGGACUUGCAACCGAAACAAUAACAAACUACGAGCCCAGUUACGAGUUGAAUGUGGACUUGCAACUAGGAUGAGAAAAACACAUAAUGAUUUAUGAGUUUAGGGUAAACUUGUAACUAGGAAAACUAAAAAUUCAUUUACGAGUUAAAGAUGGACUCUACAAAUUCUCGGUCAUGCCAAAAAAACACACAACGAAAAUGAACAAAAAAUAUAAAGGGAUCGCGCCUCCCAAGCAACGAUAAAAGUAACAUGAGAACAUGCGAGCAUAAAACAAAAUGGAACAAGAGGACGCGCGACAAGAGAGAAAGAGCUGACACGGACGCACAUGAUCGACUUUGUGCAAACAUCAAACAAAUCAGAUGAUUAUAACUUGAUAAGACAUCACUAAAUCUCAUCUAAAUAAGAUUUAGCAAAUCUAAAAAAUAUCUAGUUACACUCUCCUCUACUACACAGUCAAACUAAAAUAAACAUAUAACCCACAAAAAGCUAGUACACACAACGUAAAAGGGCACACUAAAAAAAGUCAUAUAUGACCUCACUGCUUAACGAGGAGCGAAUGAAAAACACGACACAUCAACAAUGAAAGUGAAUCAUAAGCAUAUGAAUCAGAUGAGACGUUGUUAACUCACAUUUACUCCCUCCGUACCUAAAUAUAAGUCUUUUAAUAUAUUUCAUUAGGUGUCUACAUACAAAGCAAAAUGAAUGAAUCUAUACUCUAAAACAUGUCUAUAUACAUUUGUAUGUAGUCCAUUAGUGCAACAUCUAGAAAGACUUAUAUUUAGGAACGGAGGGAGUAGAUGAGAAUUAGACGUGAGUUAACAAAAACAAUAAAAAAAGAAACCCCUGGAUCAUACCGUAGUGACCCACCAAAUGACGCACGUAGAAGUAGGUAAGUAAGUAAGUAUCUUGGAUUACCUGCGAUAGUGGGAGCAGAUAGGAGUGAAAGCUUUGAAUACUUUUGUGACAAAAUCAAGAAGCUUCUGAAGGGGUGGAUGGAAAAGCAACUGUCAACAGGAGGGAAAGAAAUCUUGUUAAAAGCAGUGGCUCAAUCCAUCCCUGUCUUCGCUAUGUCAGUUUUCUGUUUGCCUAAGGGAACUUGCAAGGAUAUCACGGAUGUAAUUGCUCAGUAUUGGUGGGGAGAUGAUGAAGAAAACAAAAAAAUGCACUGGUUCUCGUGGUGGAAACUAUGCAUCCGAAGUGUGAUGGUGGCAUGGGUUUCCGCGAUCUUCACUCUUUUAACUUGGCCCUUCUUGCGAAACAAUGUUGGAGAUUGAUCACAAGGUCGGAGUCCAUCUGUGCUCGCAUCUUGAAGGCAAAAUACUACCCAAAUACAGACUUGCUACACGCUGGACCAAAGAGCGGAUCUUCGUUCACAUGGCAAAGCUUGAUGGCGGGCUUGACUGCGUUUAAAAGAGGGUACAUUUGGCGAAUUGGUUCGAGGGAAAAUGUAAGUAUAUGGAAUGAUCCAUGGAUACCCUCAAGCCCGGACAGAAGGGUGAUAACUCCUCGGCGGCAGAUUCUGAUUUCGAGGGUGGUAGAGCUCAUUGAUCCAGUCACCGGCCAAUGGGAUGAACAAUUGAUACGAGACAUCUUUUACCCAGUCGAUGCAAACAGAAUCUUGCAGAUACCUUUAAAUUUUCAAGCAUUUGAUGACUUCAUUGCGUGGCACCUCACAAGGAAUGGUAUUUUCUCGGUGAGGAGUGCUUAUCAUGAACAAUGGUCACAUAAGCUCAGGGGUCAAUCCCUUGUGAAUUCAGUGUCCACCAGUACUAUGCAGGCAGCUAUUUGGAAGAAGCUCUGGGAGUUACAAGUGCCAUGGAAAAUACAGAUUUUCUUUUGGCGGGCGUUGCGUGGAAUUGUACCACUAAAAUCCAUUCUUGCUAAUAAGCACAUCCCUAUUGAUGGGGAGUGUCCGGUGUGCCAUAGGGGACCUGAAGACAUGCGGCAUAUGUUAUUCCAGUGUGAUUUGGCGAGAAGGUUGUGUGCUGGACUAGGGCUGAUUGAUCGUAUUGAACAAGCAGUUCAAGUGGAUCGCUCAGGGUCAGCCAUCUUAGAAUUUCUCCUACUAGAGCUGGACCAACCAAUGUCGAUCAUGUCAAGUAUUAAUGACAAAGAGGUAAUAGCGGCUGGCUGCUGGUAUCUCUGGUGGCUCCGCCGGCGACACACCCAUCAUGAUUCUUGCCCUCCAUCCUUCAGGUGGCAUACCUCAAUUCUAGCAAUAGUGGGAAAUUACAUAAAAUCUUUAUCAAAGAAGAGGGAACCGGUGGAACACAAGUGGAAGAGACCAGAGGCAAGAUUUAUAAAGCUAAAUGUGGAUGCUUCAUUCCAUUCAGAUGAAGGAUCGAGUUCUACUGCAGGUAUCUUACGAGAUGAAAAGGGUGGCUUUAUUGCAGGGUUUUGCAGAUUCAUUCCCUUUGCAGCUGACGUUGUCACGAUUGAAGCAAUGGCAAUGCGAGAUGGUUUACAUUUGGUGAACUCCUUGGGCUUUAACAGGGUAGAAGCGGAAUCAGAUUCUUUGAGCGUCAUCAAGUGUUGCCAAGGGCAAGAUCAGUGGUGGGAUGCAGCAGCGGCUGUCUUUGCUGAGUGCAUAGAUAUGGCUACAUCUAUAGGAAAGGUCAUCUUUUCUCAUUGUUUUCGUGAAGCUAAUUCAGUAGCUCAUGAGCUAGCAAAGUUUAGUUUCUGUAAUAAAGUUGAGCACAAUUGGACUAAUGAACCUCCUGAGUUCUUAGUUAGCCAAUUGAUGAAUGAUGUUUUGAUUAUUUGAGUUAAUAAAGCUAGCCAUGAUGGCCUUUCCUCAAAAGAAAAAAGGAAACGCAUGUACGCGACACUAGAUGCAGCAACAAAAUAAUCCAUGAUUAAGAUUUGAAAAAAUGUAAAACAAACAGAUGAGAGUAUGUUUUUCAUGAAUAUUAAAAAAAAUGGAAAACAAGAAAAUACAAAUAUAAAUAAAAGAAAACCAGGAAACUAAAAUACUUGAUAAUUUGAAACAAAUAAUAAAACAGAAAAAAGAAAAAGAAAAAGAAGAAACAACAAAAGUAAUGCGGCAGCCGAUAUAGGCUACAGCCCAUAUAACAAGAAGAACCUAUAGGUACGAGGGCAGCUACCUAACAUACCGUUGGCGAUCCUAAAAAAAGUGAUCCUCAAACGCAACAUUCGUUUCUUCAAAAACAGGGUUGGGGGGGGGGGGAUAACAUAGUGUAUGAAACAGAACUACUAGACGGAUGAAAAAAGCAAAUCAAUCCGUGGUUGGAUGAUUGGAGAGACAGUGAUAUCCCAGCACAUCAGGGUUUAAAUCCUGAUGCUACACUAUUUUUAAAUUUAUUUCAGGAUUUCCGACAAUAUGCUUUCAGUGGGAGGAGACAUUCCCGUCGAGGAUAAGAUGCCUACAGUGACUUUGUAAAUCUCAAGACGAUAUACUCGCUCAGUCUUUGAGAGAUGUUCAUAGGGAUAAGAUGUGUGUAUGUUCGGUUUAGGAGUUAAAUCUGAGAUAAGUAUUUUACAUCUAGAUGUGAAAUAGCAAUUUCAAAAAUUCAUAUGAAAAAUCUCUGAAUGAAAAAGACUCAUUAACUUAGAAACUCCAUGCAAAAAUACAAGGCUAACUUUUUUUCUCUUAAAUAAAAAAGAAAAAUAGAGAAAAAUGACGGAGGAUAACACUUGGCAGUGGGCGGGUGAAACACAUCACAAUUUUAUUUUCAAAUUGAUCUCUAACCAGGAAAAUACCCCGCGCAUACAACCAAGACCACGCACUCACCCCAUCGCAUGGCCUCCACACGCCUUGUCGAUAUCCAUGGUGGCAUCUAGCGCCGGCCGGGUGGCACGGAUCCCCCUUCACUCCCUCAGCGUGUGAACGUCGUCGCUCCAGCCCAACCGUUGCUCGUGUUCAGGAUAAGCUGCCCAGCUCGUCCGCCCUUCUUAUUGCCGCUGCUUCUCAGCUCACACGCUCCAACACUAUCCUCUCGUGUCUCGUCGAGCUAUCUGUCCACGGAGUAGUACCUUCCCGAGCUAGCUCGCAGCUCCGCCGCAAUGGCCACCGUGGUGAGCAGCCUCCGCUUGCCCUUCUCCGUCUGCGCCGCCGCCCCCUCGGCGCCCAUGGCAUCCCGCGUCGCGCUCCCGCUGUCGUCGACGGCUGCCAGGGGCAUGAGGCUCCGCGCGCAGGCGACGUACAAGGUGAAGCUGAUCACGCCGGAGGGCGAGGUGGACCUCGAGGUCCCCGACGACGUCUACAUCCUCGACCACGCCGAGGAGGAAGGGAUCGACCUGCCCUACUCCUGCCGCGCCGGCUCCUGCUCCUCCUGCGCCGGGAAGGUGGUCUCCGGCCAGCUGGACCAGUCCGACCAGAGCUUCCUCGACGACGACCAGAUCGAGGCGGGGUGGGUGCUCACCUGCGCCGCGUACCCCACCUCGGACCUCGUCAUCGAGACACACAAGGAGGAGGAGCUCACCGCUUGAAUUCACUGAUUUUGUGUAUUUCCAUCCGUUUCCGGCGUGCGCGUGUAUAUGCACGAUGCAUGAACUGUAUCAGGAUAUUGAGGAGUUACAGAGUAAUUAGUACUUGCUG